Molecule: ribosomal RNA, 463 nt
Filed under: uncultured bacterium
Lineage: Bacteria
Description: partial 16S ribosomal RNA
Rfam family: Bacterial small subunit ribosomal RNA
Source: RNAcentral
GAUGAACGCUGACAGAAUGCUUAACACAUGCAAGUCUUUGGCGAAUCUGUGCUUGCACAGGCUAGCCAAGGCGGACGGGUGAGUAACGCGUAAAGAACUUGCCCUGCAGACAGGGAUAACAGACGGAAACGACUGAUAACACCUGAUACAGUUGCCGGCACGCAUGUGCCUGGCAAUGAAAAGAGAUGCUGCAGGAGAGCUUUGCGUCCUAUUAGCUUGUUGGUGAGGUGACGGCUCACCAAGGCGAUGAUAGGUAGCCGGCCUGAGAGGGUGAACGGCCACAAGGGGACUGAGAUACGGCCCUUACUCCUACGGGAGGCAGCAGUGGGGAAUGUUGGACAAUGGGGGCAACCCUGAUCCAGCAAUUCUGUGUGCACGAAGAAGGUUUUCGGAUUGUAAAGUGCUUUCAGCAGGGAAGAAGAAAGUGACGGUACCUGCAGAAGAAGCGACGGCUAAAUACGUG